UACGGAGGGUGCAAGCGUUAUCCGGAUUCACUGGGGUUAAAGGGUGCGUAGGUGGGCAGUUAAGUCAGUGGUGAAAUCUCCGGGCUCAACCCGGAAACUGCCAUUGAUACUAUCUGUCUUGAAUAUCGUGGAGGUAAGCGGAAUAUGUCAUGUAGCGGUGAAAUGCUUAGAUAUGACAUAGAACACCAAUUGCGAAGGCAGCUUACUACCCGAAUAUUGACACUGAGGCACGAAAGCGUGGGGAUCAAACAGG
Molecule: ribosomal RNA, 253 nt
Filed under: uncultured bacterium
Lineage: Bacteria
Description: partial 16S ribosomal RNA
Rfam family: Bacterial small subunit ribosomal RNA
Source: RNAcentral